GAUGAACGCUGGCGGCGUGCCUAAUACAUGCAAGUCGAGCGAACAGAUGAGGAGCUUGCUCCUCUGACGUUAGCGGCGGACGGGUGAGUAACACGUGGAUAACCUACCUAUAAGACUGGGAUAACUUCGGGAAACCGGAGCUAAUACCGGAUAAUAUAUUGAACCGCAUGGUUCAAUAGUGAAAGACGGUUUUGCUGUCACUUAUAGAUGGUUCCGCGCCGCAUUAGCUAGUUGGUAAGGUAACGGCUUACCAAGGCAACGAUGCGUAGCCGACCUGAGAGGGUGAUCGGCCACACUGGAACUGAGACACGGUCCAGACUCCUACGGGAGGCAGCAGUAGGGAAUCUUCCGCAAUGGGCGAAAGCCUGACGGAGCAACGCCGCGUGAGUGAUGAAGGUCUUCGGAUCGUAAAACUCUGUUAUUAGGGAAGAACAAAUGUGUAAGUAACUAUGCACGUCUUGACGGUACCUAAUCAGAAAGCCACGGCUAACUACGUG
This 497-nucleotide ribosomal RNA is filed under the name uncultured bacterium. Its description in RNAcentral is "partial 16S ribosomal RNA". It matches the Rfam family "Bacterial small subunit ribosomal RNA", at positions 28 to 507 of the family's 1533-position model. The record is from RNAcentral.